Molecule: ribosomal RNA, 771 nt
Filed under: Triticum aestivum (bread wheat)
Lineage: Eukaryota; Viridiplantae; Streptophyta; Magnoliopsida; Poales; Poaceae
Description: partial small subunit ribosomal RNA
Source: RNAcentral
AUGGCUUCCAACGGGAGCAUGUUGGCCAUCAUCAUGGCAUGCGCGCUCCUCCUCGCCGGCAGCACGUGCCACGCCGCCCGCAACCUGGCCGACACGACGCCGGUUGCUAGUGCCGUCCCUGGACUGCCGGCCGUGCCGACCUUACCCGCCGUGCCCACGGACACGGUCACCCUGAUGCCACCUAUGCCGUCGGUCACCCUCCCCACCGUGCCGCAGGUGACCCUGCCGCCCAUGCCGGCCAUCAUCGUGCCCAAGGCGGUGCUGCCGCCGAUGCCCAAGGUCACCCUCCCCACAGUGACGAUGGCGCCGAUGCCCGCGAUUGUCGUGCCCAAGGUGACGCUGCCGCCGUUGCCCUUCGUCCCGAAUGUGAACGUGCCUAUGCCGUUUGCGGCGCCACCCCCGUCGGCCACGACGUGCCAUGCCGCUCGCCACUUGGCCGACACCACCCCGGCGGCUGCCCCACCCGCUGCGGCUGCUGUCCCUGGCUUCCCGGCCGUGCCAACCAUGCCGACUGUGCCCACCGUACCGCAGGUGACGCUGCCGCCCAUGCCCGCUGUUCCGGCGGUGCCGAAGGUGACGAUGCCCCCAAUGCCCGCCAUCGACGUGCCUAAGGUGACCAUGGCACCGAUGCCCGCUGUCGUUGUGCCUAAGGUGACGAUGCCACCGAUGCCCGCCAUUCCUUCCAUGCCGAAGAUGACGCUGCCGCCGAUGCCUUCUAUCCCGACCGUCAACGUCCCUAUACCGUUCCUGGCGCCGCCUCCAUCAACUUAG